RNAcentral lists this ribosomal RNA (666 nucleotides) under Bacillus sp. 19BFS. Its description in RNAcentral is "bacterial SSU rRNA". It matches the Rfam family "Bacterial small subunit ribosomal RNA", at positions 126 to 777 of the family's 1533-position model. Lineage: Bacteria; Bacillati; Bacillota; Bacilli; Caryophanales; Bacillaceae. The record is from RNAcentral. RNAcentral also lists the same sequence under 14 other names.
CUGCCCAUAAGACUGGGAUAACUCCGGGAAACCGGGGCUAAUACCGGAUAACAUUUUGAACCGCAUGGUUCGAAAUUGAAAGGCGGCUUCGGCUGUCACUUAUGGAUGGACCCGCGUCGCAUUAGCUAGUUGGUGAGGUAACGGCUCACCAAGGCAACGAUGCGUAGCCGACCUGAGAGGGUGAUCGGCCACACUGGGACUGAGACACGGCCCAGACUCCUACGGGAGGCAGCAGUAGGGAAUCUUCCGCAAUGGACGAAAGUCUGACGGAGCAACGCCGCGUGAGUGAUGAAGGCUUUCGGGUCGUAAAACUCUGUUGUUAGGGAAGAACAAGUGCUAGUUGAAUAAGCUGGCACCUUGACGGUACCUAACCAGAAAGCCACGGCUAACUACGUGCCAGCAGCCGCGGUAAUACGUAGGUGGCAAGCGUUAUCCGGAAUUAUUGGGCGUAAAGCGCGCGCAGGUGGUUUCUUAAGUCUGAUGUGAAAGCCCACGGCUCAACCGUGGAGGGUCAUUGGAAACUGGGAGACUUGAGUGCAGAAGAGGAAAGUGGAAUUCCAUGUGUAGCGGUGAAAUGCGUAGAGAUAUGGAGGAACACCAGUGGCGAAGGCGACUUUCUGGUCUGUAACUGACACUGAGGCGCGAAAGCGUGGGGAGCAAACAGGA